Molecule: unclassified non-coding RNA, 376 nt
Filed under: uncultured Alphaproteobacteria bacterium
Lineage: Bacteria; Pseudomonadati; Pseudomonadota; Alphaproteobacteria
Description: contains 16S-23S intergenic spacer region
Source: RNAcentral
UCCGGCUUAUCACCGGCAGUCCCCUUAGAGUGCCCAACUGAAUGCUGGCAACUAAGGGCGAGGGUUGCGCUCGUUGCGGGACUUAACCCAACAUCUCACGACACGAGCUGACGACAGCCAUGCAGCACCUGUGUUCCAGUCCCCGAAGGGAAGAAAUCCAUCUCUGGAAAUCGUCCGGACAUGUCAAACGCUGGUAAGGUUCUUCGCGUUGCUUCGAAUUGAACCACAUGCUCCACCGCUUGUGCGGGCCCCGUCAAUUCCUUUGAGUUUUAAUCUUGCGACCGUACUCCCCAGGCGGGAUGCUUAAUGCGUUAGCUGCGCCACUGAAGGGUAAACCCACCAACGGCUAGCAUCCAUCGUUUACGGCGUGGACUAC